GAUAAACGCUGGCGGCGUGCUUAACACAUGCAAGUCGAACGAAGUUUUUCCUUCGGGAGAAACUUAGUGGCGGACGGGUGAGUAACGCGUGGGUAACCUGCCCUGUACAGGGGGACAACAGCUGGAAACGGCUGCUAAUACCGCAUAAGCACUUAGCACUGCAUGGUGCAUAGGGAAAAGGAGCAAUCCGGUACAGGAUGGACCCGCGUCCGAUUAGCCAGUUGGCAGGGUAACGGCCUACCAAAGCGACGAUCAGUAGCCGAUCUGAGAGGAUGUACGGCCACAUUGGGACUGAGACACGGCCCAGACUCCUACGGGAGGCAGCAGUGGGGAAUAUUGCACAAUGGAGGAAACUCUGAUGCAGCGACGCCGCGUGAGUGAAGAAGUAUUUCGGUAUGUAAAGCUCUAUCAGCAGGGAAGAAAAUGACGGUACCUGACUAAGAAGCACCGGCUAAAUACGUG
This 462-nucleotide ribosomal RNA is filed under the name uncultured bacterium. RNAcentral's name for it is "partial 16S ribosomal RNA". It matches the Rfam family "Bacterial small subunit ribosomal RNA", at positions 28 to 507 of the family's 1533-position model. The record is from RNAcentral.